AGAGUUUGAUCAUGGCUCAGGAUGAACGCUAGCUACAGGCUUAACACAUGCAAGUCGAGGGGAAACGAUAUUGGAAGCUUGCUUCCGAUAGGCGUCGACCGGCGUACGGGUGAGUAACGCGUAUCCAACCUGCCCACCACUUGGGGAUAAUUCCCCCCCCCCCCCGGAAAGUAAGACUAAUACCCAAUGACGUCUCUAGAAGACAUCUGAAAGAGAUUAAAGAUUUAUCGGUGAUGGAUGGGGAUGCGUCUGAUUAGCUUGUUGGCGGGGUAACGGCCCACCAAGGCGACGAUCAGUAGGGGUUCUGAGAGGAAGGCCCCCCACAUUGGAACUGAGACACGGUCCAAACUCCUACGGGAGGCAGCA
RNAcentral lists this ribosomal RNA (366 nucleotides) under uncultured bacterium. RNAcentral describes it as "partial 16S ribosomal RNA". It matches the Rfam family "Bacterial small subunit ribosomal RNA", at positions 8 to 353 of the family's 1533-position model. The record is from RNAcentral.